This 492-nucleotide ribosomal RNA is filed under the name uncultured bacterium. Its description in RNAcentral is "partial 16S ribosomal RNA". It matches the Rfam family "Bacterial small subunit ribosomal RNA", at positions 29 to 507 of the family's 1533-position model. The record is from RNAcentral.
AGUGAACGCUGGCGGUAGGCCUAACACAUGCAAGUCGAACGGCAGCACAGUAAGAGCUUGCUCUUACGGGUGGCGAGUGGCGGACGGGUGAGGAAUACAUCGGAAUCUACUUUUUCGUGGGGGAUAACGUAGGGAAACUUACGCUAAUACCGCAUACGACCUGCGGGUGAAAGCAGGGGAUCUUCGGACCUUGCGCGAUUGAAUGAGCCGAUGUCGGAUUAGCUAGUUGGCGGGGUAAAGGCCCACCAAGGCGACGAUCCGUAGCUGGUCUGAGAGGAUGAUCAGCCACACUGGAACUGAGACACGGUCCAGACUCCUACGGGAGGCAGUAGUGGGGAAUAUUGGACAAUGGGCGCAAGCCUGAUCCAGCCAUACCGCGUGGGUGAAGAAGGCCUUCGGGUUGUAAAGCCCUUUUGUUGGGAAAGAAAAGCAGCAGGUUAAUACCCCGCUGUUCUGACGGUACCCAAAGAAUAAGCACCGGCUAACUUCGUG